RNAcentral lists this ribosomal RNA (859 nucleotides) under Campylobacter jejuni. RNAcentral's name for it is "partial 23S ribosomal RNA". It matches the Rfam family "Bacterial large subunit ribosomal RNA", at positions 331 to 1188 of the family's 2925-position model. Lineage: Bacteria; Pseudomonadati; Campylobacterota; Epsilonproteobacteria; Campylobacterales; Campylobacteraceae. The record is from RNAcentral.
AGCAGAACAUUCUGGAAAGUAUAACCAUAGAGGGUGAUAGUCCCGUAUGCGAAAAACAAACCUUAGCUAGCAGUAUCCUGAGUAGGGCGGGACACGAGGAAUCCUGUCUGAAUCCGGGUCGACCACGAUCCAACCCUAAAUACUAAUACCAGAUCGAUAGUGCACAAGUACCGUGAGGGAAAGGUGAAAAGAACUGAGGUGAUCAGAGUGAAAUAGAACCUGAAACCAUUUGCUUACAAUCAUUCAGAGCCCUAUGUAGCAAUACAGGGUGAUGGACUGCCUUUUGCAUAAUGAGCCUGCGAGUUGUGGUGUCUGGCAAGGUUAAGCAAACGCGAAGCCGUAGCGAAAGCGAGUCUGAAUAGGGCGCUUAGUCAGAUGCUGCAGACCCGAAACGAAGUGAUCUAUCCAUGAGCAAGUUGAAGCUAGUGUAAGAACUAGUGGAGGACUGAACCCAUAGGCGUUGAAAAGCCCCGGGAUGACUUGUGGAUAGGGGUGAAAGGCCAAUCAAACUUCGUGAUAGCUGGUUCUCUCCGAAAUAUAUUUAGGUAUAGCGUUGUGUCGUAAUAUAAGGGGGUAGAGCACUGAAUGGGCUAGGGCAUACACCAAUGUACCAAACCCUAUCAAACUCCGAAUACCUUAUAUGUAAUCACAGCAGUCAGGCGGCGAGUGAUAAAAUCCGUCGUCAAGAGGGAAACAACCCAGACUACCAGCUAAGGUCCCUAAAUCUUACUUAAGUGGAAAACGAUGUGAAGUUACUUAAACAACCAGGAGGUUGGCUUAGAAGCAGCCAUCCUUUAAAGAAAGCGUAAUAGCUCACUGGUCUAGUGAUUUUGCGCGGAAAAUAUAACGGGGCUAAAGU